AGAGCGAACGCUGGCGGCAGGCUUAACACAUGCAAGUCGAGCGGGCGUAGGCAAGUACGUCAGCGGCAGACGGGUGAGUAACGCGUGGGAACGUACCUUUUGGUUCGGAACAACCCAGGGAAACUUGGGCUAAUACCGGAUAAGCCCUUACGGGGAAAGAUUUAUCGCCGAAAGAUCGGCCCGCGUCUGAUUAGCUAGUUGGUGAGGUAAUGGCUCACCAAGGCGACGAUCAGUAGCUGGUCUGAGAGGAUGAUCAGCCACAUUGGGACUGAGACACGGCCCAAACUCCUACGGGAGGCAGCAGUGGGGAAUAUGGACAAUGGCGCAAGCCUGAUCCAGCCAUGCCGCGUGAGUGAUGAAGGCCCUAGGGUUGUAAAGCUCUUUUGUGCGGGAAGAUAAUGACGGUACCGCAAGAAUAAGCCCCGGCUAACUUCGUGCCAGCAGCCGC
RNAcentral lists this ribosomal RNA (448 nucleotides) under uncultured bacterium. RNAcentral describes it as "SSU rRNA". It matches the Rfam family "Bacterial small subunit ribosomal RNA", at positions 26 to 518 of the family's 1533-position model. The record is from RNAcentral.